UUUGUUAUUUAACCACUGUAUAUAGCCAUAAGCCCAUACACUACCACACCCUGCUUAGAUAAGUGUUGUUUACCCCGAAGCUGCGGAAAAACCUAAGUUUGGGGUUUCAUCAGAAUUUGGGGACACCGACGAACCAUAGAUAAGUGCAAAAAAAAAGAUGAGAAAAUUCAAAGAAAAGAAAAAAAGAAGAAAAAAAAAGAUCAUGAAGCACUUAUCUAGAAGUAUUAUGGUUGGCAAAAAGCAUGCUCAAAAGAGCGAUAAAAGAAAAUAUAUGAGCCAAUGAACCUCAACAAGAACGGUGUCCAAAAGAAAUACCCCCGAGUUAUAAAUUUCAACAACAGUGACGAGGGUAACAACACGAAAUCUGAG
RNAcentral lists this long non-coding RNA (369 nucleotides) under Lathyrus oleraceus (garden pea). Its description in RNAcentral is "Pisum sativum (pea) long non-coding RNA (PSAT_LNC013308)". Lineage: Eukaryota; Viridiplantae; Streptophyta; Magnoliopsida; Fabales; Fabaceae. The record is from RNAcentral.